RNAcentral lists this transfer RNA (71 nucleotides) under Aulorhynchus flavidus (tube-snout). Its description in RNAcentral is "tRNA-Thr". The stretch from base 3 to 58 matches the Rfam family "tRNA", at positions 9 to 63 of the family's 71-position model. Rfam says of the family: Transfer RNA (tRNA) molecules are approximately 80 nucleotides in length. Their secondary structure includes four short double-helical elements and three loops (D, anti-codon, and T loops). Further hydrogen bonds mediate the characteristic L-shaped molecular structure. tRNAs have two regions of fundamental functional importance: the anti-codon, which is responsible for specific mRNA codon recognition, and the 3' end, to which the tRNAs corresponding amino acid is attached (by aminoacyl-tRNA synthetases). tRNAs cope with the degeneracy of the genetic code in two manners: having more than one tRNA (with a specific anti-codon) for a particular amino acid; and 'wobble' base-pairing, i.e. permitting non-standard base-pairing at the 3rd anti-codon position. The record is from RNAcentral. Lineage: Eukaryota; Metazoa; Chordata; Actinopteri; Perciformes; Aulorhynchidae.
AGAGCUCAGCGUUAGAGCGUCGGUCUUGUAAACCGGAUGUCGGAGGUUAAAUUCCUCCCUUUUGCUCAGAG